GCCGGCGUGGUGAAAUGGCAGACACGGUAGACUCAAAAUCUACUGAGGGCAACCUCGUGAGAGUUCAAGUCUCUCCGCCGGCA
RNAcentral lists this transfer RNA (83 nucleotides) under Treponema sp. Its description in RNAcentral is "tRNA-Leu". It matches the Rfam family "tRNA". From Rfam's summary of the family: Transfer RNA (tRNA) molecules are approximately 80 nucleotides in length. Their secondary structure includes four short double-helical elements and three loops (D, anti-codon, and T loops). Lineage: Bacteria; Pseudomonadati; Spirochaetota; Spirochaetia; Treponematales; Treponemataceae. The record is from RNAcentral.